This 648-nucleotide long non-coding RNA is filed under the name Lynx pardinus (Iberian lynx). The record is from RNAcentral. Lineage: Eukaryota; Metazoa; Chordata; Mammalia; Carnivora; Felidae.
GCGCCAGGUUGGGGAAGGCGCCCUCCGCUUGAGCGGGAGGUGGCUGCAGGCGAUCAGGGACCUCCGAAGAGGCCCCUGCCUCCUCCUCCUCCUCUUCUAGACGGGCUUUCUUGCUUGGGACCAGUCCGACGUCCCCGCCGUCACUCAGGCUGCUGCUCCGCCGCUUGCGGCUGACUUUAGUGGGGCGCGGGGCACAGGGAGCUGGGGUCUCCGCGGCUCCCGGCGCCUCCCGCGUGUCCAUGGGCUCCGGGGAAGGCUGCUCACCGUCGGGGGGCGCUGCCUCGGCUACAGCUUCCGCUUCCCGCAACUGGUGCAGGCGAGGAUCAGGGGAGCGGACGGGCGGCAAGGGCACCUCGGGCUCGUGGGCUUCCACCUUGGCCGAGAGGUAGAGCUCUCGCGCGCUGCGCAUGACCAGCGACAGCUGCAGACUCCGGUGCAGCCGCAGGCCACCGCGCUGCAUGCGCGAAUGGUACAUCUUCCACACCGACAGGGUCAUGAUGCGUUGAGCCUCCUUCUGCACCUCCAUGGCGGCUAGACGGCGGGGGCGAGGACGGCGGGGGCUCCCUGACUGGGCAGGACAGGUAGCAGGUGCACUCCGGGCUACGCGCUCGUUCACGCUUCUCCCCUCGCGCCAACCCACGCCGUGAC